CAAAGAGUCCCUCCCGACUGUUUACCAAAAACACAGCACUCUGCUAACUCGUAAGAGGAUGUAUAGGGUGUGACGCCUGCCCGGUGCUCGAAGGUUAAUUGAUGGGGUUAGCAUUAGCGAAGCUCUUGAUCGAAGCCCGAGUAAACGGCGGCCGUAACUAUAACGGUCCUAAGGUAGCGAAAUUCCUUGUCGGUUAAAUACCGACCUGCAUGAAUGGCGUAACGAGAUGGGAGCUGUCUCAAAGAGGGAUCCAGUGAAAUUGUAGUGGAGGUGAAAAUUCCUCCUACCCGCGGCAAGACGGAAAGACCCCGUGGACCUUUACUACAGCUUGACACUGCUAUUUGGAUAAGAAUGUGCAGGAUAGGUGGGAGGCUUUGAGUAUAUGACGCCAGUUGUAUAUGAGCCAUUGUUGAGAUACCACUCUUUCUUAUUUGGGUAGCUAACCAGCUUGAGUUAUCCUCAAGUGGGACAAUGUCUGGUGGGUAGUUUGACUGGGGCGGUCGCCUCCCAAAUAAUAACGGAGGCUUACAAAGGUUGGCUCAUAGCGGUUGGAAAUCGCUAGUAGAGUAUAAAGGUAUAAGCCAGCUUAACUGCAAGACAUACAAGUCAAGCAGAGACGAAAGUCGGUCUUAGUGAUCCGGUGGUUCUGUGUGGAAGGGCCAUCGCUCAAAGGAUAAAAGGUACCCCGGGGAUAACAGGCUGAUCUCCCCCAAGAGCUCACAUCGACGGGGAGGUUUGGCACCUCGAUGUCGGCUCAUCGCAUCCUGGGGCUGGAGCAGGUCCCAAGGGUAUGGCUGUUCGCCAUUUAAAGCGGUACGCGAGCUGGGUUCAGAACGUCGUGAGACAGUUCGGUCCCUAUCUGCCGUGGGCGUAAGAAGAUUGAAGAGAUUUGACCCUAGUACGAGAGGACCGGGUUGAACAAACCACUGGUGUAGCUGUUGUUCUGCCAAGAGCAUCGCAGCGUAGCUAAGUUUGGAAAGGAUAAACGCUGAAAGCAUCUAAGCGUGAAGCCAACUCUAAGAUGAAUCUUCUCUAAGCUCUCUAGAAGACUACUAGUUUGAUAGGCUGGGUGUGUAAUGGAUGAAAGUCCUUUAGCUGACCAGUACUAAUAGAGCGUUUGGCUUA
This 1125-nucleotide ribosomal RNA is filed under the name Campylobacter upsaliensis. RNAcentral describes it as "partial 23S ribosomal RNA". It matches the Rfam family "Bacterial large subunit ribosomal RNA", at positions 1783 to 2925 of the family's 2925-position model. Lineage: Bacteria; Pseudomonadati; Campylobacterota; Epsilonproteobacteria; Campylobacterales; Campylobacteraceae. The record is from RNAcentral.